UAAGGAAUAUUGGUCAAUGGGCGGAAGCCUGAACCAGCCAUGCCGCGUGCAGGAAGACGGCCCUACGGGUUGUAAACUGCUUUUGUACCGGAAUAAACCUUGAUACGUGUAUCAAGCUGAAUGUACGGUAAGAAUAAGGAUCGGCUAACUCCGUGCCAGCAGCCGCGGUAAUACGGAGGAUCCAAGCGUUAUCCGGAUUUAUUGGGUUUAAAGGGUGCGUAGGUGGCCUGUUAAGUCAGGGGUGAAAGACGGUAGCUUAACUAUCGCAGUGCCUUUGAUACUGACGGGCUUGAAUACACUAGAGGUAGGCGGAAUGUGACAAGUAGCGGUGAAAUGCAUAGAUAUGUCACAGAACACCAAUUGCGAAGGCAGCUUACUAUGGUGUCAUUGACACUGAGGCACGAAAGCGUGGGGAUCAAACA
RNAcentral lists this ribosomal RNA (422 nucleotides) under uncultured Mucilaginibacter sp. RNAcentral's name for it is "bacterial SSU rRNA". It matches the Rfam family "Bacterial small subunit ribosomal RNA", at positions 355 to 774 of the family's 1533-position model. Lineage: Bacteria; Pseudomonadati; Bacteroidota; Sphingobacteriia; Sphingobacteriales; Sphingobacteriaceae. The record is from RNAcentral.